GUUCCGGUUUCGACGGGGCGAGUAGGGUAUGGAACGCAGUCGGGUUGUCGCGUUAAAGACUAACAAAAAAUAUCUGGCAACAGAACAUCAAUGUCUUUCGCAGCUUGCUAAUUAAGCCACAUAUUGUGUCCCUAUAAUUGGGAUGGAAAGCAUCAUCGCGAGAUGGGUCUCUCGGCUCAAAGAUGGUGUAACCUUAGAGAGAAUAAGAUUCUACGACUCGGAUAAAUAGGAUACGAAAAAAACAUACGAUAGUAAAAGUUAGAUUCGUUAAUUAGUCUUAGCUUUUAUGAAAAUCUAUUAGUUAACUAAACUGUAGUGGUCUAUAUGGGACUUGUUUCGGACCUGGGUUCAAUUCCCAGCUGGUCCACCA
Molecule: transfer-messenger RNA, 370 nt
Filed under: pig gut metagenome
Rfam family: transfer-messenger RNA
About the family: Bacterial tmRNA, also known as 10Sa RNA or SsrA, is named for its dual tRNA and mRNA-like properties. Its role is to liberate the mRNA from a stalled ribosome.
Source: RNAcentral